GCAUAUCUUUUUACUAAAAAGCAAUACUAUGGCAGCAGCCAAAAAGCAGGAGCUCGCGUGGGAAGAAAUAGCUGACCGAGUCAAUGCGUGCAACCCAACAGGCCCCAAACUGACUUGGCAGCAACUAAAAAUGAUAUAUAAAUGUAGUUCAAACAGCCAACAGAAAAAAGGCAGAGGCACGCAAAACAGGUGGCGGUCCACCACCACCACCUCUCACAGAGGCUGAAGAGAUGGCAUCUCUGGGGGGAGCUCAUCGGACCCAGCCACGCCCCAGGACACAGAGGCCUACAUAAGAGGUAAGUUAUUCAAAUGAAUGGCAUGUACAUUAAUCCUUUUUCUAGUGUUCAGUAAUGGCCACCCAUUCAUCUUAGAAACCACUUGCCACACAGAUUUUUUUUCUUGUAGCAGUAGGCUACAGUUCUUUGUAUUGGCUGCUGUUGCUUUCAGAUAUCAAUCUAUUUAAAAUUUUUGAUGGGACCUGCACACUAUUGUAAAAAAAAAAAAGUAAUUAGGUGGGGCACUUUUUUGGGUAAUCAACUGUCUAAUCUUUAUCUUCUACCAGUUACUGAUGAUGGUGUAAUCUGUCUCGUGGAGCCUUCUACCAUAACACACCUCCAUGCUGUUGUAAGUACUCUUAAUAUUCCACAGAUUUGUCAUAAUGGGUAAUAUAACACAAACAUUCUGUUUCAUUACAGGAUGAUGAUGAAGACACCUUAUCAGCUGCCACAGAGAGGGAAGUAAUAACUUUGGUUUCAGUUAAUUGUUCCACAAUACAACUUGCAAUUUCUUUCUCUCUAACAGAGCAAUGCCGGAAGUUACAAUGAGGAAGAAGGUCCAUCAACCUCCACAGCACAGCUUACCUCAGUAAGAUGUUGUUCAGCGUUGACCCACAACUUACAAUGACACUAAGUAGACAUGGCACUGUGAAAUUCAAUGUCAUUUAUGUUCCUAUAGCUCCCUGUGAAACAACUUUACAAAGUAUAUUUAGAAUCCCAACUAAACAAAUCACACCUAGAAAUGGAGCACAUAAGGCUGCAGAUCACCAAAACAAAAAAGGAAAUACAACUGCUGGACCAUCAGUUAAAGGAAAUAAAGAAGACCCCAUAAAAUGA
Gadus morhua (Atlantic cod) is the source of this 1112-nucleotide long non-coding RNA. RefSeq lists it as uncharacterized. The record is from RefSeq and is a predicted model, not a curated record. Lineage: Eukaryota; Metazoa; Chordata; Actinopteri; Gadiformes; Gadidae. The transcript is spliced from 4 exons.